RNAcentral lists this long non-coding RNA (226 nucleotides) under Panax ginseng (ginseng). RNAcentral's name for it is "long non-coding RNA (PGIN_LNC018963)". Lineage: Eukaryota; Viridiplantae; Streptophyta; Magnoliopsida; Apiales; Araliaceae. The record is from RNAcentral.
CCAAGUUGUAGGAAAAGGCUUUAGAAUUAUCUACCCAAUAGAAUAGCGUAUCUCAUCCAUCCAUCCAUCCACAGAUCCACUCCCAACUUUUUCUACAUAUUUGGGUUGGAAAGUGACCUUAUUUUGGCUUGCCUACCCCCAAAUACCAUUUGUUUGGAUAGACUUAACGUUCCAAAAGUCAUAUAUACACGCGUUUAAUAUAGUAAUUACAUACACAUACACGUAC